AUGUCAUAAAACCAAUCCUACCAAGGGCAGCCAAAAUGCGAUGCUCACUUUGCACAGACGAUGCAACACUUUUUACCAAUCCGGAUCGAAUUGAGCUCCAACACAUCAACCAACUAUUGCAAGUUUUCGAUAACUAUUCUGGCCAGAAAAUCAACAUGACCAAAACUGAGAUAUUCCCCAUCAGAUGUGAUGCUGAGACUAUAACAGAUGCACUUCUGGGCUUCGCCGGCACUAUCUGCUCC
Molecule: long non-coding RNA, 242 nt
Filed under: Setaria viridis
Lineage: Eukaryota; Viridiplantae; Streptophyta; Magnoliopsida; Poales; Poaceae
Description: long non-coding RNA (SVIR_LNC004815)
Source: RNAcentral